UUCUUCUCCAAAGAGAGGAGGCGAGCUCUCGAAGUCCGCCGCGAACAGGUCGAUCUCGUCGUGAGCCUCAUCGAGAAGCGACGGAGAGCGAUUCGGAAUAAAACGGCGCCGUCUUUCUCUUACCUCGACACGCUCUUCGAUCUAAAAGUCGAGGGACGCGAAACGGCGCCGUCUAACGAAGAGAUCGUGACUCUCUGCUCGGAGUUUCUCAACGGGGGAACGGACACGACGGGGACGGCGAUCGAGUGGGGGAUCGCGCAGCUGAUCGCGAACCCCGAGAUUCAAUCUCGGCUCUACGAUGAGAUUAGAUCGACGGCUGGAGAUCGUCGGAUCGAGGAGGGUGACGUGGAUAAAAUGGCCUUUUUGCAAGCGUUCGUUAAAGAGCUUCUCCGGAAACAUCCUCCGACUUAUUUCUCGCUGACGCACGCGGUCAUGGAAACGACGUCGCUUGGAGGUUACGAUGUUCCCGCGGGCGUUAACGUCGAGGUUUAUAUUCCCGGUAUAAGCGAGGACCCGAGGAUCUGGUCUAAUCCGAAAAAGUUUGAUCCGGACCGGUUUAUAUCGGGUAAGGAGGAUGCUGACAUAACCGGGAUCAGUGGAGUGAAGAUGAUUCCGUUUGGUGUUGGCCGUCGGAUCUGUCCUGGGCUUGGAAUGGCGACCGUACACGUGCACCUCAUGCUUGCGAGGAUGGUUCAAGAGUUUGAGUGGACCGCUUAUCCGACCGGAAGCGAGAUUGAUUUCGCCGGUAAAACGGAGUUCACGGUGGUGAUGAAGAAUCCAUUGAGAGCCAAGGUUAAACCAAGGGUUUAAUUUUUUUAAAUUAUCUAUUUUCACGUAUUUUAAUUUUAUCUUUGUAUUAUAAAUUUUCUAAUUAUCCAAUAAUCAUUUUGGUUACAAGAAGCUUCUGUUAAAAAUAUUUAAAUAACAAACUUAUGAUCUAAGAGAUUGAUUAAUACUAGUUGAUACUUGAUAGUUUAACCCAUUUACAAUCAUUUAAAUUUUUUAAUAAUCUUAGAAGCUUCCGUUAAAUAUAUUUAACUAAGAAAACUUAAGAUAAGCAUUGAUUAAUAAUAUUAGUUAUAUAUCAAAAAAAACUUCCAAAGGAAAAAAUAUUCUAAACCCAUUUACAAAUCCCUAGCGUAGAGAAACUAUAUAUACACAUAAGCAGAAGCUACAGAGACUAUUAUGCUUCAAAAAGAAGCAAGCCUUUUUAAUUCAAUCCAAGUAAGCUUGUUUAAUUUUCUGUCAUUACCAAAUAUUAUCAGUUCAAGAAAAGGGAUGCAUCAGCCACCUCGCCGCUUGAAUCAGCUACUACUUUCACGGCUUGUGCAAUCCUACGAGCCAGCAUGGCUUUGUAAACAGCCAAAUCUGCAUUCUCUGCAAGAACCUGAGCUCUUCUUCUUUUGGCCAUGGCAAUCUCCAUAGAUGUAUCAGCCCAGGCUUUGGCUUUUUCCACUCUAAGAAAAACGUUUUGUCCCUCCCAAGCUUCCAGUUUAGCCGCCUUUACAGACACUGUCCAAGUUAAACGGUCCACACAAAUUCAGAUCUCCUUCUCAAUAAAUGUUCUAAGCAAGAUUGUUCCAUGUAACUCUAAUAACUCUCAGGUGUAUAUACUAUUCAUCAUUUUAAGUACUUAGCAAAACCAAUUUAUCACAACACUAUCCACCACAAUCCAUGACAAAACAUAUAGGAACAUACCGAGACUUGAUUGUUUGGAUUUUCCAUGGAGUUGACUCCCCUGUCUCUUGAAAGACCUUCUCUUACGAAAUACAGGUUUGAAAAAUAGCGGAGUCUUCUUCGCUUGAUGACCCUGUUUACAUAACAAACAUAACUUUUGUAACACUGAUGGAAAAACAAAGAACACUGGUCUAAGUAUAUACAAGAACAUGACUCUUACCUGGAAAAUUCUGAGGAGUGGUGCUUUUCUCUGCUUCCUUUUCCUCGCCCAGUAAUCAUACACCGCUUCAACCACAUCUUGCCUACCCAAAUACGAAAGACUAGCUACACUAGCUGCUUUCUCAUCCAAGAGAUCAUCGGCAGGGUUACGGAAGUAGUACUUUUCAAACCCAUCAAUCAUCAGUUCAAAAGUAUCUUGAUGAAGUUGUUGAGACGACUUCUCAUCUUCUCCACCAAGCAUUGCCUCGUUCUGCCUCUCCAGCCACUCUUCAUCCUCAGAAUCCAUGUCAUAGAUGGCAGUGCUUCGAGCCAUGGCCCUUGAAACCUCAUCUUCUUUCACAGAUAUAUAUGGAACCGGCAUAGAAAAUGAAGGCAAAGCAUCAAUAUUCUCUGCAUAGCCACACACUUCUGUUACUCCAGGUAUAGGAAUGACUUUCGCACUCUGUUCCAACACAUUCCUUUCGUAGCACUCUUUAUAAAUCUCCUUGAAACCGAGCCAAUCUCGUCUCUCGCAAAACUCAAGCUUCCAACCAUUAUCCCCUACCCACACUACAGAAUGUGUGAACCUGUUGCACGAGCAAGGUCUCAUAGUCUUCCGCGCCUUGAGUUUGUAUCUGAUUUCCCCAUCCUUCUUGAUAACAACGAACCACUCCUUUGAAGAAACGAACUCCAACACGGCACUGAAACCUUCUUCUCUGGUGCAUCUGUCUGAACCCAAAACCAAAAUAUUCACAGAACAACGUAGAGAAUCAAGCUCCUCUUUUGUCAACGGUUUUGGAACGACACUAAUCUCGUUUGAGUUGUUUAGCACCGAGCUUCUAAGCCUUCUCGUAGAUACUGCUGCUGCUGAUGUCCUGUUUCUCCAUGAUAAUUCGAAAACAGACGUUCCAUUGUACAACUUGUGUCCACUGUGAGCAAGGUUCCUCACUCUUCUCCUCCUUAAGGAUCUUCUCCUCUUCUGGAUACUGUGAAACCCUAAAUUGCCUCUAUACUGAGCAUUAGAGCCUCUCCUCGGAUUACAAGGUGGAGAUGAAACUAACUCAGACUCUGAAUCAGUUUCUUCAACAACUGGAUUGUUUAGCAAAUAAAGAGAUCUCCUCACGAAAGCAAAGGAGCGUUGCGCAUCUCUGAGAAACAGAGUCAAAUGCAUAUCCAUGAAAAAUCGAGGAAUGGCAGCAAAAUCAGCUGACAAGAGAGGAAGACAAUCCACGCCCCCAAAGAACUUGCAUACACCCCUUGAGCUAAGGGAAGUAGGCUCCUGAAACAUUAAAGAUCCUAACUUUAUAUCAUCACUACCAACAUAAACACUAAAGAUCCUAACUUUAUAUCAACAUGCUAUUAACUUAGUUACUUACCUCAAGAAACCUCACGCCAUGAUCUGCAAAGUCGUCGUUGAUAGGUUGAGAUAAGAAGAAAGACGCAAGCGUACGCAAGCUCAGCUCUUCCCUCCUCAAGUACCUCAUCACCAAACCAAAAACAGUCGACAACCAGCAAUCCCCACAAGACCAAUCUACUGUAAGAGCAAUCACAGGACCACAAAGUCGUCUUGUCCGCCUGCGAUAAAACUUGAGGUCUGAACUACCACCACUUGAUUGGUCACAAAGUCUCUUCCUUUUUCUAUUAUAUACAAUCCCAAACUUAGUAUCAACACUCUUCCCAUCUCCGACAGCUUCAGUUCUCACUCUCCUCCGUUUCACGACGGUAAAGUCUUCUCCUUUGUCGUGUUGUUGCUUCUCAGCGAAGACUUUGCCCCCUUUGCAGUCCCAAUCUGGAUCCACAGCGUCAUGGGCCCGCUUGGCCUUGGGCUCGUCGUUAUUGGGCCAAAUCCGGCGACCCGAGCGGAGGACCCGAGCUCCGUCCGCGGCUUUAACCACCCCGAAUACCCUCGUGGUGCGUCUCAUACCCACUGAAGGCAUCUAAACGACAGCGUUUCACUCAAAUAGGCUCUGACUUGUUGUUACUCGGUCGAUCUAUCUUCUCGGAGGACCCCGAAUCCGAUUUCGAAUCGAGUAGAUCUACGGAGAUCGAAGAAAGUUUGAGAAACUCGAUCGAGAUCUGUUCAUGGGUCGUUGAUUCAAGAAUCAAGUAGACAUGGUGGAGAGAUGAGGAAGUUUUGAGAAGUUUCUCGUUUGGAGAAGGAAGAGAGGGAACUGAGGAGGCUGCUAUCUAGGGUUUAUGAUCGAAGGAGAUUAUCAUUUCGAGGGGUAGAUUGGGUCGUGGCCGUUGGAUGAUUGAAACGACGGUUCGGAUUGAUUCGGCUUCGGUGGGUCCCGGAAGGCUAUAUUUAUUUGUUUUUUGCAUACGUAGGCGGCGUAUUUUUUGGGUUUACACGAAUAUCUAAAACAAUUGAAUUUAAAACGGAGUGGGCCGAAAAUUUCAAAAGGCAAGAUGUUAAUUGACAGAACUACCCUUGUCUUUAAAGCGGAAGGUGUCGGAACUACACUUGUUUAAGACGACACUGAGAUGUGAGAAGAAGAGGAGGAUUACAAGACCAAACACAAUGUCUAUUUUAAAAAGCAAAAGGGUUGUUUAGAGAUUAGAUUUAUUGACUUUGUAUUACAUAUGAUUUCUAUUUUAUUUGGGAAUCUCUGCUAAAACAGAGUUAUUAUAACAUGUAGGAUGCUUUUAUUGCUUGUUAUAUUUAGGCCUUGGCGGUUUCAGCCUCAUCAGCUCCCCAGAAACUUGUUUUCUUUCCUGUCUUUGAGACUGUCUGAAGAACAGCUUCUGGCUCCACGUUGCCUUUCACUGUUACCUUCUGUUCUUUCAGAUCCACAUCAAAUGACUCCACACCUACCAAUACAAUAUUCGUUGUUUGUUUUGUUUACACAUAAAAAUCAAUGAGAUGAGAAAGCAAAUAUAUACAACCAUAAAUAAGAUAUAUGCAAAUUAAUGAAACCAGAGAGUUUGUAACAUAAUGCAAAGUUAUCUGAGACUAACCUUGCAUUUUGCCUAAGACUCUCUUCACAGCUCCCACGCAUCCCUCACAUGGCAUAGCCACCUUUAGAACCACAGUCUACUCGGGUAACGUACCCAAAAAAAAAAUUUGAAGUUAAAAUUCUGGAAAGAUUUAUCAAAGUGGAUUUGUCAAGAUGUAAAAGAAUCUUGAAACACUGUCCCGUUAAUUGCUUUGAAACACCAUGUCCUAAUCAAAUUCCUCAAAUCAUCUCACAGAAACAAACUACUUCCUCCAUACAAAAAAAAAAAAUCAGCUAGAUUGACCUAGACAAAGACAGAUCAACCCUUUUCAACAACAAUUUUACAUGAUUCAUGGUCUUAUAUGAUCCUUGCCAUCAUCACCAGUUUGAUAAAAUGGGAAACUACUGACACCAAUGUUUUUAAUAUAUUUAACUACAGAUCUCUCGCUGAACUGAUUCAUACAUCAUAAAACCAGAUUACAAAGCAUCAACAAACCAUAACUCAAACCAAAGUCAGAUUCAAGUACCUGAGACAUACUUAAAAAUAAAUAAAAAAGUACCUGAGACAUAUUUCUUCUCUUUUUCCUUCCUAUAUGUAAAAGUUUCAACCACAGCGGAGAAAAUUUUGUAAAAGAAAAGAGAUGCUUCUGGAGCUUUUUAAACGAAUGCAGCUUUGACCAAUUCAACGAAUAUAUUCUUAGCUUUUUUUUUCCAUUGUGAGGUCACCCGAAGAUAUUCUUAUUUAAUCAAAUCAUACUAGACCAACUAUUCAACAAAAAAAAAAUAACGGAUGCAUGACCUUGAUGGACGGGUAACUAGAAAACAUCAAAGCCACUGAAUCCACGGCAGAUAAAAUUGUACGGCAGCAAAUUAUCGUAAUGUCAUCUUUCAAACACAUUUCAAAGUCUGAAACUUUACAAAAAAAAAAAAGAGAAUAUUUACAACGAGUUUUUUUUGGACAUGUUUGUUCAAUGUCAUUGCUAGUCCACGAAGCUCUGAUCCAGCGCGGAUCUCUCUUCGCCACCCGACCCGCCGAGAAUCCGACCCGAACGAUCUUCAGCUGCGAUAAAUUCACCGUCAACGCGGCCAAAUACGGCCCCGUGUGGAGGUCCCUGAGGAGGAACAUGGUCCAGAACAUGCUCUCCUCGACCCGCCUCAAGGAGUUCGGGUCGGUGAGACGAUCCGCCAUGGAUAAACUCAUCGAACGGAUCAAAUCGGAAGGUAAAGAGCACGACGGUUUAAUCUGGGUGCUUCGAAACGCGAGAUUCGCCGCGUUUUGCAUUCUGUUAGAGAUGUGUUUCGGAAUCGCGAUGGAUGAGGAGUCGAUCGAGAAGAUGGACGAGAUGAUGAAGACGGUCCUGAUGACGGUGGAUCCGCGAAUCGACGAUUACCUCCCGAUCCUCGCUCCCUUCUUCUCCAAAGAGAGGAGGCGAGCUCUCGAAGUCCGCCGCGAACAGGUCGAUCUCGUCGUGAGCCUCAUCGAGAAGCGACGGAGAGCGAUUCGGAAUAAAACGGCGCCGUCUUUCUCCUACCUCGACACGCUCUUCGAUCUAAAAGUCGAGGGACGCGAAACGGCGCCGUCUAACGAAGAGAUCGUGACUCUCUGCUCGGAGUUUCUCAACGGGGGAACGGACACGACGGGGACGGCGAUCGAG
RNAcentral lists this long non-coding RNA (6466 nucleotides) under Brassica napus (rape). RNAcentral's name for it is "long non-coding RNA (BNAP_LNC001953)". The record is from RNAcentral. Lineage: Eukaryota; Viridiplantae; Streptophyta; Magnoliopsida; Brassicales; Brassicaceae.